GUCGAACGGUAACAGGAAGCAGCUUGCUGCUUUGCUGACGAGUGGCGGACGGGUGAGUAAUGUCUGGGAAACUGCCUGGUGGAGGGGGAUAACUACUGGAAACGGUAGCUAAUACCGCAUAACGUCGCAAGACCAAAGAGGGGGACCUUCGGGCCUCUUGCCAUCGGAUGUGCCCAGAUGGGAUUAGCUAGUAGGUGGGGUAACGGCUCACCUAGGCGACGAUCCCUAGCUGGUCUGAGAGGAUGACCAGCCACACUGGAACUGAGACACGGUCCAGACUCCUACGGGAGGCAGCAGUGGGGAAUAUUGCACAAUGGGCGCAAGCCUGAUGCAGCCAUGCCGCGUGUAUGAAGAAGGCCUUCGGGUUGUAAAGUACUUUCAGCGGGGAGGAAGGGAGUAAAGUUAAUACCUUUGCUCAUUGACGUUACCCGCAGAAGGAGCACCGGCUAACUCCGUGCCAGCAGCCGCGGUAAUACGGAGGGUGCAAGCGUUAAUCGGAAUUACUGGGCGUAAAGCGCACGCAGGCGGUUUGUUAAGUCAGAUGUGAAAUCCCCGGGCUCAACCUGGGAACUGCAUCUGAUGCUGGCAAGCUUGAGUCUCGUAGAGGGGGGUAGAAUUCCAGGUGUAGCGGUGAAAUGCGUAGAGAUCUGGAGGAAUACCGGUGGCGAAGGCGGCCCCCUGGACGAAGACUGACGCUC
RNAcentral lists this ribosomal RNA (698 nucleotides) under uncultured Pseudomonadota bacterium. RNAcentral describes it as "bacterial SSU rRNA". It matches the Rfam family "Bacterial small subunit ribosomal RNA", at positions 61 to 748 of the family's 1533-position model. The record is from RNAcentral. Lineage: Bacteria; Pseudomonadati; Pseudomonadota.